This 993-nucleotide ribosomal RNA is filed under the name Hypocreales sp. LM39. RNAcentral describes it as "eukaryotic LSU rRNA". The stretch from base 1 to 355 matches the Rfam family "Eukaryotic small subunit ribosomal RNA", at positions 1478 to 1831 of the family's 1831-position model. Lineage: Eukaryota; Fungi; Ascomycota; Sordariomycetes; Hypocreales. The record is from RNAcentral.
AGUUCUGGGCCGCACGCGCGCUACACUGACGGAGCCAGCGAAGUACUUCCUUGUCCGAAAGGUCCGGGUAAUCUUGUUAAACUCCGUCGUGCUGGGGAUAGAGCAUUGCAAUUAUUGCUCUUCAACGAGGAAUCCCUAGUAAGCGCAAGUCAUCAGCUUGCGUUGAUUACGUCCCUGCCCUUUGUACACACCGCCCGUCGCUACUACCGAUUGAAUGGCUCAGUGAGGCGUUCGGACUGGCCCAGAGAGGUGGGCAACUACCACUCAGGGCCGGAAAGUUCUCCAAACUCGGUCAUUUAGAGGAAGUAAAAGUCGUAACAAGGUCUCCGUUGGUGAACCAGCGGAGGGAUCAUUACCGAGUUUACAACUCCCAAACCCCUGUGAACAUACCUUAACGUUGCCUCGGCGGAUCAGCCCGCUCCCGGUAAAACGGGACGGCCCGCCAGAGGACCCAAACCCUACUGUUUUUAGUGUAUCUUCUGAGUAACAAAAACAAAUAAAUCAAAACUUUCAACAACGGAUCUCUUGGUUCUGGCAUCGAUGAAGAACGCAGCAAAAUGCGAUAAGUAAUGUGAAUUGCAGAAUUCAGUGAAUCAUCGAAUCUUUGAACGCACAUUGCGCCCGCCAGUAUUCUGGCGGGCAUGCCUGUUCGAGCGUCAUUUCAACCCUCAAGCCCCCGGGUUUGGUGUUGGGGAUCGGCGAGUCUCUAGGGACGAGCCGGCCCCGAAAUCUAAUGGCGGUCUCGCUGCAGCCUCCAUUGCGUAGUAGCUAACACCUCGCAACUGGAACGCGGCGCGGCCAAACCGUUAAACCCCCACUUCUGAAUGUUGACCUCGGAUCAGGUAGGAAUACCCCCCUGAACUUAAGCAUAUCAAUAAGCGGAGGAAAAAAAACCAACAGGGGAUUGCCCUAAUAACGGCGAGUGAACGGGCCACCCCCCUCAUUGAAAUUGGGUUUCCGCCCAAUUGAAUUUUAAAGGAGCUUUUGAGCGGG